CCUACGGGCGGCAGCAGUGGGGAAUAUUGGACAAUGGGGGGAACCCUGAUCCAGCCAUGCCGCGUGUGUGAAGAAGGCCCUCGGGUUGUAAAGCACUUUCAGUGAGGAAGAACGCCUGGUGGUUAAUACCCAUCAGGAAAGACAUCACUCACAGAAGAAGCACCGGCUAACUCCGUGCCAGCAGCCGCGGUAAUACGGAGGGUGCGAGCGUUAAUCGGAAUUACUGGGCGUAAAGCGCGCGUAGGUGGCUUGAUAAGCCGGUUGUGAAAGCCCCGGGCUCAACCUGGGAACGGCAUCCGGAACUGUCAAGCUAGAGUGCAGGAGAGGAAGGUAGAAUUCCCGGUGUAGCGGUGAAAUGCGUAGAGAUCGGGAGGAAUACCAGUAGCGAAGGCGGCCUUCUGGACUGACACUGACACUGAGGUGCGAAAGCGUGGGUAGCAAACAGGAUUAGAUACCCCUGUAGUC
This 465-nucleotide ribosomal RNA is filed under the name Vreelandella stevensii. Its description in RNAcentral is "partial 16S ribosomal RNA". It matches the Rfam family "Bacterial small subunit ribosomal RNA", at positions 338 to 795 of the family's 1533-position model. Lineage: Bacteria; Pseudomonadati; Pseudomonadota; Gammaproteobacteria; Oceanospirillales; Halomonadaceae. The record is from RNAcentral.